UCCCUGAUGGCUCAGAUGGUAAAGCAUCUGCCUACAAUGCAGGAGACCCAGGUUCAACUCAUAGGUUGGGAA
RNAcentral lists this transfer RNA (72 nucleotides) under Bos taurus (domestic cattle). It matches the Rfam family "tRNA". Rfam says of the family: Transfer RNA (tRNA) molecules are approximately 80 nucleotides in length. Their secondary structure includes four short double-helical elements and three loops (D, anti-codon, and T loops). Further hydrogen bonds mediate the characteristic L-shaped molecular structure. tRNAs have two regions of fundamental functional importance: the anti-codon, which is responsible for specific mRNA codon recognition, and the 3' end, to which the tRNAs corresponding amino acid is attached (by aminoacyl-tRNA synthetases). tRNAs cope with the degeneracy of the genetic code in two manners: having more than one tRNA (with a specific anti-codon) for a particular amino acid; and 'wobble' base-pairing, i.e. permitting non-standard base-pairing at the 3rd anti-codon position. RNAcentral also lists the same sequence under 1 other name. Lineage: Eukaryota; Metazoa; Chordata; Mammalia; Artiodactyla; Bovidae. The record is from Rfam by way of RNAcentral.